UGGGGAAUAUUGGGCAAUGGGGGAAACCCUGACCCAGCAACGCCGCGUGAAGGAAGAAGGUUUUCGGAUCGUAAACUUCUAUCCUUGGUGAAGAGAAGAAGACGGUAGCCAAGAAGGAAGCCCCGGCUAACUACGUGCCAGCAGCCGCGGUAAUACGUAGGGGGCAAGCGUUGUCCGGAAUGAUUGGGCGUAAAGGGCGCGUAGGCGGAUUGAUAAGUCAGUUGUGAAAGUUUGCGGCUCAACCGUAAAAUUGCAGUUGAUACUGUCAGUCUUGAGUACAGUAGAGGUAAGCGGAAUUCGUGGUGUAGCGGUGAAAUGCUUAGAUAUCACGAAGAACUCCAAUUGCGAAGGCAGCUUGCUGGACUGUUACUGACGCUGAGGCACGAAAGCGUGGGUAUCAAACA
This 404-nucleotide ribosomal RNA is filed under the name uncultured bacterium. Its description in RNAcentral is "bacterial SSU rRNA". It matches the Rfam family "Bacterial small subunit ribosomal RNA", at positions 355 to 774 of the family's 1533-position model. The record is from RNAcentral.